This 71-nucleotide transfer RNA is filed under the name Loxodonta africana (African savanna elephant). It matches the Rfam family "tRNA". Rfam says of the family: Transfer RNA (tRNA) molecules are approximately 80 nucleotides in length. Lineage: Eukaryota; Metazoa; Chordata; Mammalia; Proboscidea; Elephantidae. The record is from Rfam by way of RNAcentral.
GCAUUGGUGGUUCAGUGGUACAAUUUUUGUCUUCCAUGCAAGAGACCUGGGUUCGAUUCCAGACCAAUGCA